RNAcentral lists this ribosomal RNA (760 nucleotides) under uncultured bacterium. RNAcentral describes it as "bacterial SSU rRNA". It matches the Rfam family "Bacterial small subunit ribosomal RNA", at positions 58 to 831 of the family's 1533-position model. The record is from RNAcentral.
CAAGUCGAACGAGCGAGAGAGAGCUUGCUUUCUCGAGCGAGUGGCGAACGGGUGAGUAACGCGUGAGGAACCUGCCUCAAAGAGGGGGACAACAGUUGGAAACGACUGCUAAUACCGCAUAAGCCCACGGGUCGGCAUCGACCAGAGGGAAAAGGAGUGAUCCGCUUUGAGAUGGCCUCGCGUCCGAUUAGCUAGUUGGUGAGGUAACGGCCCACCAAGGCGACGAUCGGUAGCCGGACUGAGAGGUUGAACGGCCACAUUGGGACUGAGACACGGCCCAGACUCCUACGGGAGGCAGCAGUGGGGAAUAUUGCACAAUGGGGGAAACCCUGAUGCAGCGACGCCGCGUGGAGGAAGAAGGUCUUCGGAUUGUAAACUCCUGUUGUUGGGGAAGAUAAUGACGAUACCCAACAAGGAAGUGACGGCUAACUACGUGCCAGCAGCCGCGGUAAAACGUAGGUCACAAGCGUUGUCCGGAAUUACUGGGUGUAAAGGGAGCGCAGGCGGGAAGACAAGUUGGAAGUGAAAUCCAUGGGCUCAACCCAUGAACUGCUUUCAAAACUGUUUUUCUUGAGUAGUGCAGAGGUAGGCGGAAUUCCCGGUGUAGCGGUGGAAUGCGUAGAUAUCGGGAGGAACACCAGUGGCGAAGGCGGCCUACUGGGCACCAACUGACGCUGAGGCUCGAAAGUGUGGGUAGCAAACAGGAUUAGAUACCCUGGUAGUCCACACCGUAAACGAUGAUUACUAGGUGUUGGAGGAU